RNAcentral lists this microRNA (22 nucleotides) under Gallus gallus (chicken). Its description in RNAcentral is "gga-miR-1595-3p". The record is from miRBase by way of RNAcentral. Lineage: Eukaryota; Metazoa; Chordata; Aves; Galliformes; Phasianidae.
UAGCCCCGCUGUCCUACUGCUG